CUGAGGACGAGAGCCAGACUCAGAGGAGAGAAGAUGGUCUCCUCCCUUUCACCAAGCCGUGAACAUCUCCUUGUCUCGUGCGGGUUCAGCAGAUCCCGCUGGAUUUGGAGCCACGCGGAUUCGGUUGCGGGAGAGCCCUGCUCAGAGGAUCAGGUGCAGGGAGCUGUUUCUGAUUCCUGUCCCUUGCUGCCACGUGACUCUGGACAAGCCUCGGCGGAGACUUGAAGACUUCUGAGCAGGGAACUGGGCUCCGUCAUGUUGGCCAAGGGUGUGGCCAAGGCCUGACUGAGGGAGGCAGUGACCUCAGCUGCCAAGCUCUGUCACACCUACAGUGAGGGCCAUCUCUGCCUGGCUCCCAGAACCAGCAGGUGCUGCGUCUCUACUCACCAGCUGAGUGCUCUGUUCCCGGAGUCCUCCCACGCUGUCUGGGUCCUCCCACACUGUCUGCCCACGCUGUCGCUUUUGCCUGGCGUGGCCGCUUCUACCUCUCAUUACCCAUCAAAAUCCUUUCCAUGCUUCAGGGCCGCCUCUGUGACGACAGAACUGGGUGCUGGAAACGCAGGACCAGAGAUGCUGCCCGCCCUCCAGGUGUGCAGUGGCUGAGGGGCUCUCCUCACGGAUGUCACCCUCAGUGCCCGGUCUUGUGUUGCCUUUGCCCAUUCAGAACCUGCUGUCUGUAAGAGGAGGGCCUAAAACUCUGGGAGUCAAGAGAGGGCUUACUGCAGUGGUGACCUACAAGUCAAGAGAGCAGAUGCUCGCCAGGUCUCUGUGCAGCUCAAGAGCAGUUACCGUUCCUGAGAGCCGUGAGGUACUGAACCAGCCACAGUGCCACAGGUUUCCAUCCCAUCGGCCACGGCAUGGACAGUGCCCGCUGCCUGGCACCAGAGCCACACCAUACCUAGGGUGGAAUGGGAGCUGUAGCUGCUGGCCUACACCACAGCCACAGCAAUGUGGGAUCUGAGCUGUGUCUGCGACCUACACCACAGCUCACAGCACCGUUGGAUCCUUAACCUACUGAGUGAGGCCAGGGAUCGAACCUACAUCCUCAUGGAUACCAGUUGGGUUCGUAACCUGCUGAGCCAUAGUAGGAACUCUAAAGCUUUUGAAAAAUUAUGUAACCUGCCUGUAAUUUGUGGCUAGUGACGCCACGGUGUAUUCCUCUAAACGGCGGAGCUCAGAAAACUCUCAAGGGCAACAAAGGGGGAGAGUUUACCAAGGUCACACUGUGUGUUGGUGGUUGAACUGGGUCAGUGUUCCACUGGUGGUUUUUCCCGGUCACUGCUAGCAGGGUAUUGAUGCAGUAACCAGCCCUACGGCCAGCCCACCGUGUCCCUUGCCCCAGUGGCAGGAAAGAGUGCCCAGUGGAUUAGAGCAUACACUUUGGAGUCAAACAGACCUAUGUUCAAAUCACAGCUCCCAAGCUAACUUGCUGGCUGACCUUGAGAACGACCCUUCCUCUCUCUGAGCCUAUGUCCUCUUCUGCAAAAUGGAACAGUAACCUCGCUCAUUUCCUGGGGUUGCUGGAGGAGUGAGUGCGAGAAGGCACAUGGGGUGUCUGUCCAGCGAGGCCACCCAGUUGAUGUGGACUAAGCCGUGACCUUGUCUCUGAAAUGAUCCAUGAGCUGAAAGAGCUUUGCAGCUGCCGUUCCACAUAAAGAAGCCCUGAAAUCUGCUUCACGGCGAUGACGUAGGCUGGGAAGGAGGCCAGAGGCCGCAGGGUGUCUGACUCUGGAAGAGACCCACACGCAAAUAGGCACCUCGCACCUGGCCACACACACCCUUGUGAGACGUAGGUGCACACAUUGUGUACACGUGCAUGUGCACAGGGGGAUGCUCACACAGGAUGCGUGCCGUAGAUAUGCUCACAUAUAGAUAUGCACAUGCUCACACGUCUGCGUGUGCCCACACGCGUGCGCACCCACACUUCCCGUGUACACAUACUUCCUCCUCUUUGCCUGGUUAACACUUACUCCUUCCGCCUCCACCCGCAGGUCACUGCCUGGGGGCAGCCGCCCUGAGCCCCUCAGCUUGUGUUCCCUUGGCCUCCUGCAUUUUCCCCCUUCCGUUUGCAUCUUAAUUGUCAUUGAACAAUUGUGUAACAAGCUGCUUAAUUCUGGAUUUUCUACUAGACUCUUAUCUCUGCAGAGGGCAGGGACAAAGCCUGACUGUUCUCCAAUGAUGGAAAGCUCCUAGCACAGCCUAGCACAUAGUAGGCCUUUGACAGAUACGUGCCAUUGUUUUUUUUUUUUUUUUUUCUUUUUCAAGGGCUGCAUCUGUGGCACAUGGAGGUUUCCAGGCUAGGAGUCAAAACAAAGCUGCAGCUGCCAGCCUAUGCCACAAGCCACGGUAACGCGGGAUCCCAGCUGCGUCUGUGACCUACACCACAGCAACAGCAAUGCCGGAUCCUUAACCCACUGAGCAAGGCCAGGGAUCAAACCCCCAUCCUCAUGGAUCCUGGUCACAGUGCGACUUCCGACAAACAUGCGCCAUUGAUUGAACAGAACCUCAGGGAUCCCUUUUGGGUGCAGGCAGGAGAGCAGCCUCUUCACUGUGGGCUGCCUUGUACGGAUUUCUGGCCUUGGGUCUGUGGGAGGUUUUAGGCUCAGCCAGAGAAACCCACCCUCACAAUGUUGCGGAGGCUGGCGAGGAAGAAAACGCAGUCGCCAGGAAAUCGCGUGUCAGUGGUGAAGGGAUGUCCAGGAAGCCCGAGGGCAGAGAGCUCCUUGUCGCUUCUCGCUUGCUUUCCCCCGGGAGGCGAGGGACACCACAACUGCCCCAGGUGACAAGGCUGACCAGUCGCUGCCUGGGCUGGCACAGGGCGGCCUCCCUUGCCUCAGGCCAGAUGAGGGCGGUAAGCAGGCGUCUUCAGGGCAGAGAGAGGGCGGAGGAUGAUGCUCUGGUGGGAGUGAGAUGCAGUGCUGGGUGGCUGGAGGAGAUUUCCUUCCUUUAUUUAUCAAAGGAGUACUUACGGACACCUUCUAAGUGCCAGGCACUGUGCCAGCUGCUGGAGAUACAGGAGAAAGUGAGUUAUGUGUGGCCUUGGACCUCCGGGUGCUCAAAUCUUACGGGCGAUGUGGAUAAGAAACCAGACCAUCCCCAUGCAGUGUGGUCCAGGCUCCCCAGGGGAGCUGAGACGCAGGCCUCCUAAGGAGGGUGGGAGUGGCUUAUGGAGGAGAGGGUUUCUGAGCUAAGGCCUAGAGAAGGAGCCAGGCCAGGAGACGCGGAAAGAGUGCUGUGAGUGGAGAGAAGGGUUUGUGGGCCGGCCCCAAAGGGAGAGAGGGCACAUGGCAGGAAUCCAGCGUGGCAGUGGCUGGCUCGUCCCGGUGGGGUGGCCAUAAGCUGGGGAGGAGCGGCAGCCAUCAAAGGAGGCUGAGCAUCUGGGAGCAGUGAGGUCCUGCAACCUGAAGAGAGGGGACAUGGGGAAGGAGCCUUGCUGUUCACUGGACAUGACCUUGCCUUCUCUGGGCCUGUUUUCUCACCUGUCACGUGGACAGGGGGGCUCGGUGACGGCCCACAUACUUUCCCAAGGCUGCUGUCUAAGCUCCCGUCAGGCCGGGUGAACCCUGUGCGUCCCCCCUUCCCCACCCCUGUGCUCUCUGCCGCCUCCCAUCCUGCCCCACAUCCUCUCUGUCCUGUGCCGUCCACCCUGGCCUCUUCCUCUGCCACUCCUCAGAAGCCGUGUCUCGUAGGAGCACCUCCUUGAUGGGGUGAUCAUGUCACCCACUUUUCCAUCCUCGUCCUGUGCCCUUCUCCGCACCGCACCUGAACUUCUCUCUCCAGCUCCCAGAGCUGUUUCUUGUCUGGAAUUCUCAGCCUCCUCCCUCCCCUCACCACGUCUCACUUUUGUCUUGCCAAUCCUUCCAGUUCCAGCUAAGCCCUUUCUUCAGCGAAGCCCUCCUCUAGGGGCCCAGCGCCUGCCCCGUGCUGUGUUAACACUCUGCCUCCUUCCCAGCGCUCGCAGGGCGGUACGAACGUGGUCGUGUGUGAUGACGGAUGCCCACCCCUUCCGAGACAGAAGCAGGGGCAGGGGGCGAAGCACAUGUUUAGUAGGUUCUGGGUGGUGAGUUGAGUGGAUAAGUGGCUGUCAGUGGAUUUAAUGCCUUUCAUACAUAUAUAAGUUAUUAACUAUGCUCAGGCCAGGACUGUAAACUGAAACUUCGUUCAUCAGUUCACAAAGUAGAGUGACAUGUUUUGCCACUAGAGGGCAUCGUGAAACCGUAAAGUUGGGGGUGAGCCUCAGGGACCCUGGCCUCUUUUUGAGUUGACGUGUAAAGUUCAGUCACUUUGUAUUCUGUGUCCACUCAGGACACAUCAAUUAAAAUUUUAAAAAAUGUGUAGACCCUUAUGAGUUGGAAGGCUUGCCAGAGCCUGUUUGGUCCCACCCUGGACACUUGAGACCUGAGGGAGAGUGAGUUCCCCUGCCUUCAUUGGCCCCAGGACACCGAUUUGUUCCUGGCUGUGGGAAAAUCCCUCUUUUUCAAUAUUCCUUUUUUCCUAUUAUGUAGGAGAAACUGUUCUAACUCCUGUCUCUUUCAAUCCAUCCAAUAAAUAUUUACUGACUUUCCACCGUGCGAUGGGCACUGUGUUAGGUGCUAGUAUUUCUAGUUUGCAAAACAGGCCUCUGUCUCAUGGAGUCCACUGUCUGGUUGGGAAAAUGAAUAUUGAAAAGUAAUAUAUAGAUACUAUCUGUGAUUAGUGCAAAAUGAAAGUCAGAGCCUGAGGACAGGACAUAACAGAGCUCCUGCCUCUUUCUUGAGCUCCCUCUUGGAGGAGGGCCAUUUGGCAGAAACCCAGAGGCUGAGCAGCCACUGGCAGAGGGAUCAGAAGGCCAGGUUUCCACCCUGGAGUUCCCUGGUGGCCUGCUGGUUCAGGAUCUGCUAUUAUCACUGCUGUGGCUCACAUUUGAUCCCUGGCCUGGGAAUUUCUGCAUGCCAGAGGGGUGACCAAAAAAAAAAAAAAAA
Molecule: long non-coding RNA, 4961 nt
Filed under: Sus scrofa (pig)
Lineage: Eukaryota; Metazoa; Chordata; Mammalia; Artiodactyla; Suidae
Description: lncRNA (ENSSSCG00015057334.1)
Source: RNAcentral